Molecule: ribosomal RNA, 253 nt
Filed under: uncultured bacterium
Lineage: Bacteria
Description: partial 16S ribosomal RNA
Rfam family: Bacterial small subunit ribosomal RNA
Source: RNAcentral
UACGAAGGGGGCUAGCGUUGCUCGGAAUCACUGGGCGUAAAGCGCACGUAGGCGGAUUGCUAAGUCAGGGGUGAAAUCCUGGAGCUCAACUCCAGAACUGCCUUUGAUACUGGCGACCUUGAGUCCGGGAGAGGUGAGUGGAACUGCGAGUGUAGAGGUGAAAUUCGUAGAUAUUCGCAAGAACACCAGUGGCGAAGGCGGCUCACUGGCCCGGUACUGACGCUGAGAUACGAAAGCGUGGGGAGCAAACAGG